Gadus macrocephalus (Pacific cod) is the source of this 1050-nucleotide long non-coding RNA. RefSeq lists it as uncharacterized. The transcript is spliced from 2 exons. NCBI's taxonomy places the organism in Eukaryota, Metazoa, Chordata, Actinopteri, Gadiformes, Gadidae. The record is from RefSeq and is a predicted model, not a curated record.
GGUCUGACUACUGGACCUGUGAAGACUGGGACAAAGGGAGUGGGGGCGGUUUCACGAGCGAGAGAGAGGAAGAGGGAGAGAGGAAGAGGGAGAGAGAAUGUAACACUGUAGUUGGGCUCCCCGCUGCUCUUGGUCUCUGCAAGACCCAAGAUGGCGGACGUCUGGGCAAAGGAAACCCACGUCACGAAGACGCGCCGUCUCUUUAACACCACGUGGUUACACUCUACGGCUGCGUUCUAUACUAAUCAAAAUUGCACAUUAGACUUAACUGAACCGGGAGGAAUCAAUCCAAUUUGAACUCCUUGGCCAAGCCUCCGUUUUAAUAUGCAACUAAACUAGAUUAACGUUAAAAACCUGACCUUUCCUCCCCCCACCGUAAAGAGUUUGGAAGUUCAUGGUCGGUGAUAAAUAUACCUUAUGGUGGCCCGGCCGGACUUCGGAGCUUAUCACCACUUACCCUAUGUUGGCCCGGCUGAACUCGAAGCUUAUCAACAUUUACCUUAUGAUGGUCUCGGCUUAACUUCGAGACAUUCACCAAUUACCUUAUGAUGGUCUCGGCUUAACUUCGAGACAUUCACCAAUUACCUUAUGAUGGUCUCGGCUUAACUUCGAGACAUUCAUCAUAUAACACAAAAACCACCUACCACGUGGUACAGACAGACACAGAGACAGAGACAGACAGACAUAACACACCGGGGGUCCCUUUGUGCAGGCUACCAUUGCCUUACCAAACAGCCAGGAGCGCCCAGGUAAACAAAGGGAUGGGGAGAGGGGGGGAGAGGGGGGAGAGGGGGGGAGGGGUACUCGUGUGUAGGGGGCCUGGAGGGGGGGCGGUGGGGACUUCACGUGUGUAGGGGGUCAGGGCAGAACGACCGGACGGUGGCUAAAACAAACUUACACCUAAAUGUUCUUAUAACCAAUCCUAUUUCAGAUUUAAUCUUUAAAACAAUGAGUUAUACUUACCUCAGACGUGCGGGCCUGUUGAAGUUGUUUUAGCGUCGCGCCCGCCGGGAUUUCUCGGGACUUUCUUCCAAACGUCGGUGGUCGCCA